CCUACGGGGGGCAGCAGUGGGGAAUAUUGGACAAUGGGGGGAACCCUGAUCCAGCCAUGCCGCGUGUGUGAAGAAGGCCCUCGGGUUGUAAAGCACUUUCAGUGAGGAAGAACGCCUGGUGGUUAAUACCCAUCAGGAAAGACAUCACUCACAGAAGAAGCACCGGCUAACUCCGUGCCAGCAGCCGCGGUAAUACGGAGGGUGCGAGCGUUAAUCGGAAUUACUGGGCGUAAAGCGCGCGUAGGUGGCUUGAUAAGCCGGUUGUGAAAGCCCCGGGCUCAACCUGGGAACGGCAUCCGGAACUGUCAAGCUAGAGUGCAGGAGAGGAAGGUAGCAUUCCCGGUGUAGCGGUGAAAUGCGUAGAGAUCGGGAGGAAUACCAGUGGCGAAGGCGGCCUUCUGGACUGACACUGACACUGAGGUGCGAAAGCGUGGGUAGCAAACAGGAUUAGAUACCCUGUAGUC
RNAcentral lists this ribosomal RNA (464 nucleotides) under Vreelandella stevensii. RNAcentral's name for it is "partial 16S ribosomal RNA". It matches the Rfam family "Bacterial small subunit ribosomal RNA", at positions 338 to 795 of the family's 1533-position model. The record is from RNAcentral. Lineage: Bacteria; Pseudomonadati; Pseudomonadota; Gammaproteobacteria; Oceanospirillales; Halomonadaceae.